UAAACCUCAGUUUUUGAAAUAUAGUUUUGUCAGGACUAAGUAAAUAAGGUUUAU
This 54-nucleotide transfer RNA is filed under the name Psoroptes ovis (sheep scab mite). RNAcentral describes it as "tRNA-Asp". The record is from RNAcentral. Lineage: Eukaryota; Metazoa; Arthropoda; Arachnida; Sarcoptiformes; Psoroptidae.